Cephus cinctus (wheat stem sawfly) is the source of this 958-nucleotide long non-coding RNA. RefSeq lists it as uncharacterized. NCBI's taxonomy places the organism in Eukaryota, Metazoa, Arthropoda, Insecta, Hymenoptera, Cephidae. The transcript is spliced from 2 exons. The record is from RefSeq and is a predicted model, not a curated record.
UCAUAAAGAAUAUAGUAAAAUACAAUUAAUAAUGUAUACAUAUAUAUACAUACAGGGGGGGAUAGAGAGAGACAGUUGAGAGGGUAAUGAACUGAUAUUUGUAAAAGAACAAAAGGUGGGUUAAUUUUAUGAGAAAAUUUGUAUCUUUCAAUGGAGAGUCGCGAGCAUCCCCUCGUUAUGUUACGUCAAAAUAAUUUCCCAGUAGGCAUCCCGUACGCAAACAACGCCAUCUUAUGCGAGAAUUUAAAUAUUUAAGAAACAGUUGCGAAACGCUGUUCGAGAAGCUUAUCGGAUGUUUUUAUUGUAGGCUGUUGAAAGUACGAUGGUGUGCUUUCGAGCAAUGUCAACAGACGCUAUCGAAUUAUUACAAAAUGGAAAGUUCCAGAAUGGUGGGGAGAAUGGGAAUAUCCAUCCAGACAUAAGAAUCAUGAAUUAUACUUUGAAAUGCAUGAAAUGUAUAGAAAAGCUGAUUGGCUCAAUGUCUUGGAAUAGAGAAAAGCUGAAUAUUUUUUUAUUUCUUUUUUUAUACAUAAAUAUGUCUCGUCGAAAGAAAGUUUAACGCGUUACUUGACAAUACGUAUACCAGGGUAAUUCGAAAUAAGCGUUACAGCUGUUAUUGGUAAAUAUUAGAAAUUAUACUGGACGAUACGUGUUUUGCCGUCUUGAUUCAACCCUAUAAAUGAUUUGGUAUUAGAAAUGACGAUUUAAAGGCUGUAUACAUAUACAUAUAGCCGUGUAUAUCAGCCUUAGUGUACCACCUGAACAUGGUUUUACCGUAAGAAUAAAAUAUGUGCACCGCCAACUUCAGAGGAUGUAUGAAUAGCAACAACAAAGAACGGUAUUCCUUUGUAAUAAAGAAUUAUAGAAGACACAGCACAAUUCAUGGAUCAAGAGGGUUAAAAUGUCGGACAAAAGGCAGACACGAAAAAAAGAAUAAACACGAAGAUGAAAAAGUUAA